Molecule: ribosomal RNA, 198 nt
Filed under: uncultured bacterium
Lineage: Bacteria
Description: partial 16S ribosomal RNA
Rfam family: Bacterial small subunit ribosomal RNA
Source: RNAcentral
ACGCUCGACACCUACGGGAUGCAGCAGUGGGGAAUAUUGCACAAUGGGGGAAACCCUGAUGCAGCGACGCCGCGUGAGCGAAGAAGUAUUUCGGUAUGUAAAGCUCUAUCAGCAGGGAAGAAAAUGACGGUACCUGACUAAGAAGCCCCGGCUAACUACGUACCAGCAGCCGCGGUAAUCUGAGCGGGCUGGCAAGGC